GACGAACGCUGGCGGCGUGCUUAACACAUGCAAGUCGAACGGUGAAGCGCCUUCCUUUUUGGUGGGUGUGGAUGAGUGGCGAACGGGUGAGUAACACGUGAGUAACCUGCCCCCUUCUUCUGGAUAACCGCAUGAAAGUGUGGCUAAUACGGGAUAUUCUGGGUCUGUCGCAUGAUGGGUCUGGGAAAGAUAUUGUUUCGGUGGGGGAUGGGCUCGCGGCCUAUCAGCUUGUUGGUGGGGUGAUGGCCUACCAAGGCGGUGACGGGUAGCCGGCCUGAGAGGGUGGACGGUCACACUGGGACUGCGACACGGCCCAGACUCCGACGGGAGGCAGCAGUGGGGAAUAUUGCACAGUGGGCGCAAGCCUGAUGCAGCGACGCCGCGUGAGGGAUGGAGGCCUUCGGGUUGUGAACCUCUUUCGCCAGUGAAGCAGGCCUGCCUCGUUUGUGGGUGGGUUGACGGUAGCUGGAUAAGAAGCGCCGGCUAACUACGUG
RNAcentral lists this ribosomal RNA (494 nucleotides) under uncultured bacterium. RNAcentral describes it as "partial 16S ribosomal RNA". It matches the Rfam family "Bacterial small subunit ribosomal RNA", at positions 28 to 507 of the family's 1533-position model. The record is from RNAcentral.